Long non-coding RNA from Ipomoea nil (Japanese morning glory), 423 nucleotides. RefSeq lists it as uncharacterized. The transcript is spliced from 2 exons. The record is from RefSeq and is a predicted model, not a curated record. Lineage: Eukaryota; Viridiplantae; Streptophyta; Magnoliopsida; Solanales; Convolvulaceae.
CAAAAAGCAAAUAAUAAGUGCAUUGUCGCACUCCUCUACGACCAAAGGAUAUAUUGUGACGUCAAAGUUUGGUCAUAGCUUUGCGUUUGACUCUUAUAAGAAGCCAAUGUUUGCAGAUACAAAAUCUAAGCCCGUUGAGACAACAUUCCUUGACAGGUAUUUUGACAAACAACCUGUCAAUUUUAUAGACCCAAGCAAUGUGCCAUAUUACUUAGGCACAUUGUCAAAUUGAACAGGUUAUUUUGUUCUAAAACCUCUCACACAGGAAGUUGAGGAAGCUGACAGAAAAUAUGAAGACUUGAUUCAGGUUGCAACAAUAUGUAGAUGCAAUAUGGACUUGUAAACUUGCACAAUGCUGAAAAUAUAUAUAGAUGUACUGAAAUUGUCUAACUUUUAUAAUUAAUGGUUUAAUUUUUUUUUUGA